RNAcentral lists this ribosomal RNA (245 nucleotides) under uncultured bacterium. RNAcentral describes it as "partial 16S ribosomal RNA". It matches the Rfam family "Bacterial small subunit ribosomal RNA", at positions 524 to 768 of the family's 1533-position model. The record is from RNAcentral.
UACGUAGGAGACGAGCGUUGUCCGGAGUUACUGGGCGUAAAGGGUGCGCAGGCGGCCGCCCAAGUUCGCGGUGAAAGCCCCCGGCUCACCCGGGGGAGGGCCGCGAAGACUGGGCGGCUCGAGGGUCGGAGAGGGAUGCGGAAUUCCGGGUGGAGCGGUGAAAUGCGUAGAGAUCCGGAAGAACACCGAAGGCGCAGGCAGCAUCCUGGACGACACCUGACGCUCAGGCACGACAGCUCGGGGAG